UGCAGCUGCUGCUGCAACUCCCCUAGAUCCCGGAAGGUGGCUACCCACUAGCACCACUGCAUGUUUUUCUUGAAGGUCUGGGGCCAGGAAGUGAUGCAGUUGGACUCCUGAGUCGUGCAGAUCUGGAGAUGCUAUAAUAACCGAACCUGGGUUAGCCUAACUGACUCCAUCUUAGCUGCAAACCUGACAAGCUCUCUCAAGCCUCUCCCUCCCUGCCACUGCCCCUCAGGUGCAUUACUGGGUCAUGCUGCACUCAAAGCUUUGCACCGUUAAGAGUGGUUCACACUGUUCACAGCAUCUAUAACCAUUGCGUCCUGCUUGGCCAGUCUAUCUGCUAUUGUGAAUACCCUCCUUGGUGAUCGAUUGUAUGGAAAGUUCUCCCUGCUACCCCCCUUAGUGAUUGUAUGGAAAUACCCUUAGCAACAAACAACCCUGGGAACCACCUGCCCCCUGGUUACCAGCCUCCUCCUACUAACUUGCCAGUUCUGCUUCUGUUAAAUUCCUCUUCAGCUAGGCUGCCCCCUCUCCUACCUAAAUCAAGGUAUAAAGGGAAAUCAAGCCCCUUUCUCGGGCCAAGAGAUUUUGAGUGUUAGCUGACUCUUGGUGGCCCUCUGAAUAAAGGACUCAUAAUUUGAA
Molecule: long non-coding RNA, 636 nt
Organism: Sapajus apella (tufted capuchin)
Lineage: Eukaryota; Metazoa; Chordata; Mammalia; Primates; Cebidae
Exons: 2
Source: RefSeq, a predicted model, not a curated record